Molecule: ribosomal RNA, 1002 nt
Filed under: Triticum aestivum (bread wheat)
Lineage: Eukaryota; Viridiplantae; Streptophyta; Magnoliopsida; Poales; Poaceae
Description: partial small subunit ribosomal RNA
Source: RNAcentral
AUGCUCCACCUGCGACGCAACUUCCCACGCCGCCGGCCACCUCCUCGCCCCCACCGCUUUAUAACCCUCUCACUCCACCACUCCCUCACACCACACCCAGCUAGAGCGAGGCGGACACCCAAGCAACCACACUCUCCCACCCUCAGCCACCGCACAAGGAAGAAGAAGAAGAGGUCUUCUCUCUCCCUGCUUUGCUUAGCUUCGUUUGUGACUGCCAUGUCGUCGUCGGCCAUGGAAGCGCUCCACGCCCUGAUCCCGGAGCAGCACCAGCGCGACGUUGAGGCGGCCGCGGCGCUCAGCGGCGCCACCAGCGGCGAGGAGAGCGGCCACGUGCUGCAGGGGUGGGCCAAGAGGAAGCGAUCGCGCCGCCAGCGCUCCGAGGAGGAGAACCUCGCGCUCUGCCUCCUCAUGCUCUCCCGCGGCGGCAAGCAGCGCGUGCAGGCGCCGCAGCCGGAGGCGUUCGCUGCGCCGGUGCCUGCCGAGUUCAAGUGCUCCGUCUGCGGCAAGUCCUUCAGCUCCUACCAGGCGCUGGGUGGCCACAAGACGAGCCACCGGGUGAAGCAGCCGUCUCCUCCCGCUGAUGCCGCCGCUGCUCCACUCGUGGCCCUCCCGGCCGUGGCCGCCGUCCUGCCAUCCGCCGAGCCGGCCACGUCGUCCACCGCCGCGUCCUCGGACGGCACGACCAACAGAGUCCACAGGUGCUCCAUCUGCCAAAAGGAGUUCCCCACCGGGCAGGCGCUGGGCGGGCACAAGAGGAAGCACUACGACGGAGGCGUUGGCGCCGCCGCCUCGUCCACCGAGCUUCUGGCCGCCGCGGCCGCUGAGUCCGAGGUGGGGAGCACCGGCUACGGGAGCUCCGCCGCCCGGGCCUUCGACCUGAACAUCCCGGCCGUGCCGGAGUUCGUCUGGAGGCCGUGCGCCAAGGGCAAGAUGAUGUGGGAGGACGACGAGGAGGUGCAGAGCCCCCUCGCCUUCAAGAAGCCUCGGCUUCUCACCGCCUGA